Non-coding RNA from Ictidomys tridecemlineatus (thirteen-lined ground squirrel), 3076 nucleotides. The record is from RefSeq and is a predicted model, not a curated record. NCBI's taxonomy places the organism in Eukaryota, Metazoa, Chordata, Mammalia, Rodentia, Sciuridae.
CGCACAGCCAGCCCGACACCCACACAGCGGCAGGCGGGGCAGGGCGGCUGGGAGGCCUGGAGAUGCUGGGAGGCCGGCGCGCCAGCCAGACGUGAGAAGAGAAGAACAGACCUAGAGACGGGGGACAGAGGACAGAUAUACAGACACGUGCAGGAAAGUGUGGACCGACCAUACCCCAGUGAAGAACGUAGCCAGGCACAGGCUGGGCACUUGGGCAGGGAAACCCUGUCACAGGCGAAGAGCAAAGGGCAGAAUGGAGAGGGUGAGGGGGCAGGAGGGACACAGCAUGGCCUGUCCAUUGGGAGGGGCCCUAGGAAGGAAUCCUGUUCCCAGAUGCCUGCAGGGGAGUUCUGGGAUACCAGGGUGUCACCUAAGCCAGGCCGAGGCCUCCACUCAGAGUGAUGAGCUGGCCUAUUUCCUGCGCAGCCCACCCACUCUAUGCCCUCUGCCCUGGAAGGUCAGCCCUGGCAGAUGCAAGCCUGUCCCCCGAGAGCCUCCAGCAACUGUUCUGCCGGUGCCCUACUUUGGGGCCUUGGACAAAUCCCAGCCCAUCCCCCAGGACUCCUUUUCUUCAUUAACCCCAUUUAUUGCAUCCUUGCUAUGUUGGGGUGCUUCAGACUUACUUAUGGAAUCCUUUUACAUCUCCACUUGCCUGGGAGCCUCCUAAGGGCAGCAUCUGGUUGGAGCUGCAGGGGUCUGAACACAGGGUGCCCUCCUAAAUUUGAUGAAUGAAUUGAUGGGAUGCAUUGUUGCCAGCCCUGUCCUAACCCCACAUUUUAUUGAUAAAGGAACUGGAGCUUGAAGAGGCCCAGGGAUUGGAAGCCAGGUUUGUUUCACAACCCAAAGGUCAGCCACUGCUGGGAAGUGUUUUUCAAAAAUAAAACAGGCCAAAGAGCUGAGCCUGUCGAUGCUAAACCCUGGGGAGGCAGAGGAGCCCUGGGGAUGCUGUGGAAGGAAGUGAGCCAUCCACAGGCUCUGCAGGGAGGGUGGGGGCAGAGCAGGCUUCCAGAAGAAACAAACCUCAUUCUGCCCCAGCUCUGCCAGGCAUCCCAGGGGAGGCAGGAGCAACGGGGUGGUCUGGGGCCUCAGGGGUGAAGACCCUCUGGGCCUCCUUUGGCAAGCUCUUCAUUCUGGCCUCUGCCUCUAGCACUGCUUCCCUCACCCCUCCCAGGACCCAGACUGGAGCAUCCCAGCUCAUCUGGGGCUGCCAUGGGGGGAACCUCCAGGUGUAGGGGAUGGGGCCAGAAUGGAGGGAAGCUUCUCUCAGAGUCCCCAGAAAAGGGGCCUGGAGAAGCUUUUUGUCCAACCUAUGCAUUUAUUUUGAAUAUUUACAAAUAAAAAUAUCAGAGAAAAAAGAGCACAGGUCAAGGCCACAGAGGUAGGGUUAGAGGCUAUAGAUCUCCUAGGCCAAGGCUCUGCUCGAUCUGCAAAGGUGACCUUGUUCUCCCUGAGCAGAGACUAACUAAUCCUCACAGGAUGAGUAUACUAGUUAUUCCUUUGGAUUGGUAUGUGUGUGUGUGUGUGUGUGUGUGUGUGUGUGUAGUGGGGGGUGGUAUGGAGUGGUUCACUUAGAGUGAGUCCUUACAUCAGCCCUAAGAAGUUCAUUCUCCUCCACUGGAUGCUUUAGUAUCACUGAUCUGCCAAGGCCAGCCUAUUCCUCAGUCCUAGAACUGUUUUCCCUGGGUCUAGCCUUGGAAAUCAGAUUAUGGUUGUUUGCCUGCCUACCUACCUAGAUUAAUCUUUUUUUUUCUUUUAUCUACUAUCCAUCCAUCACAAAUAUAUAUUGUACAGGCCACUUGGAAAACUCCAAAGGAGAAAGAAGAAAAUAGAAUCCAGCCAUCAUUGAGCCCCUUCCUUCCUUCCUUCCUUUCUUUCCAACUCUACAAGUAUCCUUAAAUGGAGCGGCCUUGUUAACUAUGUCAUUCCCUCUCUUACCUUACAUUACAUUUUGAGGCUAUCUAGCUCUGUACCAGAUGGUUCUACUAUGUUUUAUUUAACUAAUCCCCUAUUGCUGGGCAUCUAUUUUGUUUCUGUUUUCCAUGCUUCUAGACACACUGCAGUGAACAUCCUCAAGGGAUCCUGUUGAGGAUACUGCGCCACAUUUGGUCAUGGUGUUUCUCGGAGCUCUUUUUGGCUGUGAUGGUUUCUCGGACAUUCGUUGUAUUUGGUGGACGUUGACGGUUUUGAGGAGUUCCAAUCAGGAAUGUCACAGGAUGGCCUUCUACUGGGAUCAGUCUGAUGGUUUUCCUAUGGUUAGGCUGGGGGAACAGGUUUUGGGGAGACACCGUUUCUGACAUCACUGUAUUUUGAUGGAACAUCUCAAUAACACAGAUCAUGCCUACCCAGGUUUGUGGGUGCAGAGACUGCUCAGAGUUCACUCCCAUUGUCCACCCAGCUCUGUAAACAAAGGCUUCAGGCUCUGACCUCGAUACACAGGGACUUCCUUCCUUGGGAUUACGUCCUUGGGAGCUGGGAGCCAGGAGGUGGUCCCUGAAGCCCUGUGCUUCCCUCUCCCAAGCACCUUGGUUUCCUCCCAGCAUGGGGACCACACGUGGCUCCUCUGUCCCCAACACUCUGCCCUUUGGUCUCAUGCCAGGUGUCCAGUGACUUGAUGCAGUCACUCAGAUUGGCAUCAAGCUCUCAGUCUUGACGCUCUUCCUGUUGUUUGCAGACCUCUGGGCGAGCCCCCAACAGUUGUCCUGGCAAGGGCUGGCAUGAUGCAGGUGGCCCCCACUUUCCUCUGACUCUCCCUGACUCACUGCACAGAUUUUCCUUGGGGCCAGUCCUUCUCCUCAGAAGAUGAUUCAUGGCACAGUUAUUCAGCUCGGAAGGAUGUAGCAAUUGGAGGCCAUGCCCUUGGCCGUCAACCUGCCUUCUCAACUCUGACUCUACCUGUCCACCCAUUCUGGGUCCCUUGUAUCACUGACCUGCAGCUCCUGAGACGGUGGAGGGAAGAAAGUCGGAAGAAGGAGGCUCAGAAAGGUGGAGUGAGCCAACCCAGGUCACACAGGAGCAAGAGAUGGAGCCAGAAUUUGAACCUGCCCUCAAUGGUGCAUCCUUCCCUCCCUCCCUCCCU